This 720-nucleotide ribosomal RNA is filed under the name Pseudomonas sp. RNAcentral's name for it is "bacterial SSU rRNA". It matches the Rfam family "Bacterial small subunit ribosomal RNA", at positions 35 to 745 of the family's 1533-position model. The record is from RNAcentral. Lineage: Bacteria; Pseudomonadati; Pseudomonadota; Gammaproteobacteria; Pseudomonadales; Pseudomonadaceae.
GCUGGCGGUAGGCCUAACACAUGCAAGUCGAACGGCAGCACAGGAGAGCUUGCUCUCUGGGUGGCGAGUGGCGGACGGGUGAGGAAUACAUCGGAAUCUACUCUGUCGUGGGGGAUAACGUAGGGAAACUUACGCUAAUACCGCAUACGACCUACGGGUGAAAGCAGGGGAUCUUCGGACCUUGCGCGAUUGAAUGAGCCGAUGUCGGAUUAGCUAGUUGGCGGGGUAAAGGCCCACCAAGGCGACGAUCCGUAGCUGGUCUGAGAGGAUGAUCAGCCACACUGGAACUGAGACACGGUCCAGACUCCUACGGGAGGCAGCAGUGGGGAAUAUUGGACAAUGGGCGCAAGCCUGAUCCAGCCAUACCGCGUGGGUGAAGAAGGCCUUCGGGUUGUAAAGCCCUUUUGUUGGGAAAGAAAUCCAGCCGGCUAAUACCUGGUUGGGAUGACGGUACCCAAAGAAUAAGCACCGGCUAACUUCGUGCCAGCAGCCGCGGUAAUACGAAGGGUGCAAGCGUUACUCGGAAUUACUGGGCGUAAAGCGUGCGUAGGUGGUUAUUUAAGUCCGUUGUGAAAGCCCUGGGCUCAACCUGGGAACUGCAGUGGAUACUGGAUGACUAGAAUGUGGUAGAGGGUAGCGGAAUUCCUGGUGUAGCAGUGAAAUGCGUAGAGAUCAGGAGGAACAUCCAUGGCGAAGGCAGCUACCUGGACCAACAUGACA